This 275-nucleotide ribosomal RNA is filed under the name uncultured bacterium. Its description in RNAcentral is "partial 16S ribosomal RNA". It matches the Rfam family "Bacterial small subunit ribosomal RNA", at positions 338 to 627 of the family's 1533-position model. The record is from RNAcentral.
CCUACGGGGGGCUGCAGUGGGGAAUUUUCCGCAAUGGGCGAAAGCCUGACGGAGCAAGACCGCGUGAGGGAAGAAGGCUCUUGGGUCGUAAACCUCUUUUGUCAGGGAAGAACAAAAUGACGGUACCUGACGAAUCAGCCUCGGCUAACUCCGUGCCAGCAGCCGCGGUAAUACGGAGGAGGCAAGCGUUAUCCGGAAUUAUUGGGCGUAAAGCGUCCGCAGGUGGCUAUUCAAGUCUGCGGUCAAAGACUGGGGCUUAACCCUGGAAAGGCCGU